Fukomys damarensis (Damara mole-rat) is the source of this 2273-nucleotide long non-coding RNA. RefSeq lists it as uncharacterized. The record is from RefSeq and is a predicted model, not a curated record. The transcript has 3 exons. NCBI's taxonomy places the organism in Eukaryota, Metazoa, Chordata, Mammalia, Rodentia, Bathyergidae.
AUCUGGAUGUUUAGCCAAGGAUGGCCUGGAACUCUCAGCAAUCUUCUUGCCUCAGCCUCCUGAGCCCUGAGAACCCAGGGAAGAACCCAAGGCUCUGCAAGUGUGAGCUCUGCCCCGGUGCACUUGAAACCUGGAGCAAGUGUCCUGAAAAGCCCCUCGAGACUGUUCUGCCAUUAGCCUCUGCCCGGCUACUGCCCCCAGCCUGGACCCUGGACUGGGAGUACUGGUGACUGCGCUGUGGGAGGUGGUACAGGGUUGACCAUUAUGACAGCAGAGAAGACAGGCGGGUCCUCCUGAGUGUCUGGCAUGGAGUGGUCCCAAAGCUUUCGCUGCAGCUCGGUCUGGAAUCACACGGUCAGUCUCUUGUCAAACAUGCACCGCCCAGCUGCUGUGGCCCAACGUGGAUGAGGAUUAGGACCAGCCUGGGAGGCUUCCAUCCUGAGGGUACCCGACUGUGGGCCCACCUCCCCCACACUGCCCUUUGCCCACCCGAGAAGCCGGUGGAGCCCAGGCCCCUGGCUGUACCAGGACCAAUGCCCUCUCUGACCCACUGAGGACCCAGGCAGAGGACAUCAAGAGCCCUGGGUACCAAGUGGAUGGGGGCCCGAUGCUUCCCUUCCUUGCUGGGAAGGCUUGGGCUCGGUGUCCCAAGGUUCAGGACCCUGGUUUGCUGAGCUGUCCUGACUCAAGUACGGGCAACUUAGCCAAUCAGGGCCCUCCCUGGACAGGACAGGGGUGACAGUGGACCAGAGGCUCAGUCCCAGUGCCCUGGAGGAGACCAGAGCAAGGUUACAGUGAUGGCACAUGGGCUUCUGUGGCGAGGCCACAGCAGUGGAGGCAGCUGGACCUGUGGCUUCUCCCUGGGGAGCUGAAGAGCAGACACCACCACGGCGCCCAGAGGGAGGGGCAUGAGGGCGUUGACUAGGACACACUGUCCUGGGCUCUCACGACAGUGGCCUCUAUGACCACAGCUCCACAGCCACAGGCUCAACCUAACUUGGACCAAAAAUUAUAAAAACAGCAUCUGUACCCAACGAGCAGAGAUUUCCCUGCUGUCAUCACCUGUCAUUAAAUGACAGAGGGACAACUGUUUACACCAUGUUGGAAUUGCGUUGGGAACUGGAUGUCACCCAUGGGUAAUUUGACACAAGAGCUGGACAGAGUGGUGCACAGCUGUGAUCCCAGCACUCAGGAGGCUGAGACAGGAGAAUCACAGAGAGUUUGGGCCCAGCCUGAGCUAUACUUAACCUCAAGGCCUUAAUAAUAUGACAGUAACAAUGAUAGCUGUCUGCUUGAACUCUCAGGGUGCUUUUCCAUAACUCACCCUGCAAUGCUCCUGAAAACCCCACUGCCUUCUUGUCUGGAUGGCGGGCCACACAGCUGGUGGGCCGUCGGGGGGGACCUAAGCCAGGAUGGAGGAAUCACAGGUCUCUCUGGCGGUGAGACGCACCUGGCCCAGCCGAACGGGCGCACAGAUACCUCGACAGUCACCUGCCACCGGGACCCCAUGGAGCCAGGGUCUCUGCAGGCCAUGGCAGCUCGUGUGCCUUCGAGUGCGGAAGCCCUGGGUGGACAGGGCCAGCAGUCUUGGGCUCUGCCUCACCCCAUGGGGAUGCAAGCCCAGCAGGGCCAGGAGCCAGGCUGGGGGGCAGCAGCUGCAGACCCUGGGUGGGGUGGCAGCUGUGAGUUUGAGUCCUGGUUGGGGGGUCCUUUACUGGUCUCUGGGCCCCCAGAGCCUCAGUUUCCUCACCUGUAGAGUGGGGUGCUAGUGUCUACCCUCAGCUGUGCCUGAAGUCUGGGGCGAGGCCGCUUCCUCUGUGCUUAGCACCCAGCCUGAUCCGGGUAAGGAUUGGCCUGAGAUUAGUGGGAGGGGUCCCCCUGUUCACACCCAUCACCCCCCAGGAAGAAUAAAGACCUGCAUACCCCAUGCGCCGUCCCCCCACAGAGUGGCCAUGUGGCCUUUGUGCUGCGACCCUAACACCUUGGACCUUGCUCUCUCGGCCGCAGCUCCAGCCCUCCUAUUGCCCCUCUGAGCAGGGGACAUUUGGUCCCAGGGCCUUUGCACAGCUCCCUUCCUAGAGGACCCCUCUCCCAACCCUCGUGUCCCAGUCCCUCGUCUCCUUGGCCUAGACUCCCAUGCCCACCUGUCCCUGAGCUCUUCCUCCUGUUUAAAUGGCACCGCCCCACCCAGGGUCUUUCCCUCCAGUUUCUCUCAAACUUGCAGUGAUCUUCCUGCCUUGGCCUCCCAAGUCCUGGGAUCACCGGCAUGUGCC